Molecule: small nuclear RNA, 99 nt
Filed under: Monodelphis domestica (gray short-tailed opossum)
Lineage: Eukaryota; Metazoa; Chordata; Mammalia; Didelphimorphia; Didelphidae
Description: 7SK RNA
Rfam family: 7SK RNA
About the family: 7SK was discovered as an abundant small nuclear RNA in the mid-70s but a possible function has only recently been suggested. Two independent studies have found that 7SK RNA binds the CDK9/cyclin T complex (known as elongation factor P-TEFb).
Source: Rfam by way of RNAcentral
GUGAGGGCAAUGUGGCUGUGAUGUUUAUCACCCCAUGGAUCACCAAGGUUGAUUCAGCUGAUCUGGCUGGCUAGGCAGGUGUCCCUUUCCUCUCUCUCC